This is a long non-coding RNA of Prinia subflava (tawny-flanked prinia), 1587 nucleotides long. RefSeq lists it as uncharacterized. The transcript is spliced from 4 exons. The record is from RefSeq and is a predicted model, not a curated record. NCBI's taxonomy places the organism in Eukaryota, Metazoa, Chordata, Aves, Passeriformes, Cisticolidae.
CUCCCAAGCACGGCCGCCUGCCCGCAGCGCUGUGCGACCUGUGGGGAUCCCAGGGGUGUUCUUGAGGAAGGAUCCACGAAGCGAGUCCGAGGAGGUGCCACUGGCUGCUCUUCCUGCCCGUGACCUGCACUGCCGGCCUUGGCUGCAGCCGCCUGCUGCCGGCAUCUUCGGCCUGUGGGCAUGGUGUGUGUGCAUUGUGUUAAACGUUCGACUGUCGGCUCCCAAUACUGCAGCGCUCACCCAUGUGCUGCUGAUGGUACUGUCCCCACUUCCUUGGUGGUUCAGCAUCCCCGAGGGGAUUCAAGGGAGCAAGCCACUGUAAACUGUGGUCUUUUGCCAUUGUGGAAUAUCCUGCCUGCUGGGAUUGAGCACGUACCUGGAGCAGUAUGGAGGGCUCCUCUGGGAAAGGAGUCAGGGAAUGCACAAAGUGGCAUCACAACCAAAUGAGUUUGCUUUCAAGCCUGGCAACCAGGGCAGAUAGACAAACGUCUCUGGAAGGUUCAGGAUUAAGAUGGGGAGGAAGAUGGUUGGAAGAAACUCUCAAAACAAAGCAUGUUUAAAUAUGUAAUAGGAAUACUCUUGGCUGUGUUUCUGCUUGUGGCUUGGUAACGUUGUUCCAGGAAUUACGUACGUCUGGAUGUUAUGUACUGCUUAAGUAAUUUAAAAGCUAAGAUAAUUUUCCUGAUUGAGAAUAUAGGUAUAGGUCCUCUGCCUCUAGGUUGUACAGUCUAGGUUGUAGAAAAACCCAAACAUCAGAGUUGUAUUUAAUUCUGGAAUAGAAAACUGAAACCUGUUCCAAGGAACAGUAAGAAAACUCACAUAGUUUUGUUUCAUAAAUAACAGUGAUACAACCUUGCUUACUGCAGCUUGCUGUCAUUGCAGGUUUGACUCAGGAAACUAAGUCUGAAAUAUUCUCUCCUUAGAUACUGUGAUCAGUUACUGAGUGAGAGGCAGCUCACCUGCACAACCACUUUCUAUUGAGGAACAAGUGAAUAACGGGUUGAAUGCUGCCAUCCCCUAGCUGGCUGCACAGAAAACUUGUUAAGUUUACAAGUCUUUAAGGUCUCUUUACAAAGGAAAAAAAAAAAACAACAGACUCACAUCAACCACCUUCUUCUCCAAGGAUUGCUCCUUUUCCAAGGAUUGUGGGAGGGUGAGGUCAUCUGGUGAUUUUUUUUAUCAGCCAGCACAAGUAUGUAAAACCUUGCCCCAAAAUGAGUAAUGGAAAUGGGAAGGAAGACUGUAUGGAAAAUACCAGUGGUCAGUAAGAACUUUAGGUUGAGGUUUGUCUUGUGCAGAUGAGCAACAAAAGAAAAACCAUGGAAGAAAUAUCACUCUUUUCUCUGAAGUCUUGAAGUUUGAAAUCUUCUGUUUCCAAGCACUAUUAAUGUAUAGCAAGUUAUAGCCAUUUAUUGUUGUUUUUCUCCUCCUUGAUGGUUAAAUGCUUUCUUCUCACCAAGAAAAUAGAAACAUAGAACCAUAAGCUGAGUUCCUGGAGAGAGAUGCAAUUCUAGAGAGAUGUCUUUUAGGUCUUUUAUUGAUCUGGGAAUAGUGCAUUGAAUCAGCAGCAGAGCAUUCUUGCCAAAA